GCCCAGUGCAGUGGCGCACACCUGUAAUCCCAGCAGCUUGGGAGGCUGAUGCAGGGGGAUCACAAGUUCAAAGCCAGCUUCAGCCAACGUGAGGCUCUAAGCUUUGUCAGUGAGACCCUGUCUCUA
This 126-nucleotide small RNA is filed under the name Marmota monax (woodchuck). The record is from RNAcentral. Lineage: Eukaryota; Metazoa; Chordata; Mammalia; Rodentia; Sciuridae.